GCAAAUUUAUUGAAUCCCAGAAAUAGGUUGGGAAAUUAUUUUCUGACCUUAUUAUUGUAACUGCACCCUAUAGAUAUUUAUGACUCUCCAAAAGAUAGCGAUGUUAUCAUCACAGGUACUUUAGACUACUUGAGGAUUUACAAACCCUUGAGGAGAAAGAUUUGUGAGAGGGUAUUAGAAUUUGUUGGUGUCAGAUCAACCCCUGUGCGUGCUUUCCUCCAUCAGUGCCCCUUUCCCUGACCAGGGCCCACUUCCCCCAUAAGCGAGGCCCCCUGAAGGUAGGUGGUCCUCAUCCCCUGACCACAGGCUGAGGUGCUAUUCUGAGCCUUACUUUCUUUUUUGCUUCCCAGAUCCCAGUGGGAUUCCACCUCUGCUCUGGGUGCCUUUCCACUUCAUCACCUCCAUCUCCGCAUCUCACCCAGCAAUGCCUUCCCUUGGCCCCAAACGACCUGCCUGUCUCAACACCUCGUCUGUUCAUCUGCUUGAGAAAGGAAUUCCUACUAAGGCAAAUUGGACUAUGUUUGGAACCAGAAACUGCUGGGAAACAUGGAGAAAGGGCGUCUCAUGGUUGAGGACACUCUUAACCUUGUCAGUGUAUGUUCUGUUUGUCAUUAAUGGCUUUCCCUUCUCACAUGUAUUCUCUACACUCUCCUUUUCUCCUCUCUCCCUCUCUGUAUAGAGACAUUUAACAGUGCCAGUGCCACCCCAUUGCUGAAAAGAAUAUAGAAAGUACUUUCCAGGGGACUUAGUUUUUCUUUUCUUCUUGAACUGAGUAUUUUAUUUGAAAGAGCUAUUAUUGACAUUUACACAGUUUCUAAUUUUGAGGAGUGACCAGGUGAACAACAGGGAUUGACUGUAUAUAAAGACAGUAGCAGCAUCCUGCUUUGCUAUGUUUUCACAGGGAGGAAAUAGGUGUAGGGACAGGUGAGUUAUUUUUUGAUGACUACAAUGUUUGUCACAAGCCAAACAGUAAUUCUUGUUCAUCCAUGUAGCUGUAAGCUACACUGAUUAUAAUGUGCUAUUUGUGAGAUAUUAUAGACUAGGAGAAACACAACAAGAAUUUCUGUUUAGAUUUUGAGAAAGAGUAAAGGAGUCUUUGGUCAAAGUAUGUGACAGUAUCACAUGCAGUCUUAUAUAACCAUUAUCCUUGCAAACAAUUGUUCACAGUUGAUUUUUAUAUCACCUAUAUUUAUUAGGGUUGCACUAUUAUUUUAAGAACAGAUAAAUGUCACAAGAUACAGGUAACUUACACAAGUAAAUAUCAACUCUACAACUUCAAUUUUAUCUUGAAAAAUAAUAAAUGAUCAUUUUGCAGGGAAAGACUGGCCACGUGAAUGUCUUCCUGCAUUAAACAUUUUAAUUAAAUUUCCUGUGUAUUGUGGUGUUCUGACAUCUUACAAACCCUCUCUGGGUAGGGGAGAAACUGACAUCCCUUGCAGGACAAUUCCUAAUAGGCAACAAAGGGGCCCAGGCAGGGAAAUGUUUUUGAUUUGCAAACUCAACUGAGCCAGACCUCCUGGGUGUGACCUGUGCACCUAGGCCAGCAAAGUCUGCCUAAGCAGGGCCAGUCCAGGAGCUGGGCCGCCAGAGACCUCUGCAUAGUUUAGAGCCCAUGGAGAUGAUCCAAGCCAGCCGAUCCUCUCCUCAGGGGUUCUCCUGGCCCUAACCUGCCUCUCACUUGGAAACCACAAUAGAGCCUGCUUCCUGGACUCUUCCUCACUCUUGUCUCCGCCUGCUUCCUGGACUGGCAUCCU
This 1754-nucleotide long non-coding RNA is filed under the name Marmota monax (woodchuck). Lineage: Eukaryota; Metazoa; Chordata; Mammalia; Rodentia; Sciuridae. The record is from RNAcentral.